UACGUAGGUGGCAAGCGUUAUCCGGAAUUAUUGGGCGUAAAGCGCGCGCAGGCGGUUUCUUAAGUCUGAUGUGAAAGCCCACGGCUCAACCGUGGAGGGUCAUUGGAAACUGGGGAACUUGAGUGCAGAAGAGAAAAGCGGAAUUCCACGUGUAGCGGUGAAAUGCGUAGAGAUGUGGAGGAACACCAGUGGCGAAGGCGGCUUUUUGGUCUGUAACUGACGCUGAGGCGCGAAAGCUAGGGGAGCGAACGGG
This 253-nucleotide ribosomal RNA is filed under the name uncultured bacterium. RNAcentral's name for it is "partial 16S ribosomal RNA". It matches the Rfam family "Bacterial small subunit ribosomal RNA", at positions 524 to 776 of the family's 1533-position model. The record is from RNAcentral.